AUUUUUUGUUUUUUGCUUUUUUUGUAACCCAUGAUAGAGUUUUUUGUAAUCCAUGAUUGAAUUUUUUGUAAUCCAUGAUCGAACUAUUUUUUUCUUUUUUUGUAAUCCACGAUUGAAUUUUUUGUUUUUUUUGUUUGUUUUUUUUUUGUAAUCCAUGAUCGAAUUUUAUGUAAUCCAUGAUCGAAUUUUAUGUAAUCCAUGAUCGAAUUUUAUGUAAUCUAUGAUCGAAUUUUAUGUAAUCCAUAAUUGAAUUUUUUGAAAAUUUGUGAUUUUUUUUGUUUAAUCCAUGAUCGAAUUUUUUUUUGUAAUCCAUGAUAGAAUUUUUUGAAAAUUUGUGAUUUUUUUUUUAAUCCAUGAUCGAUUUUUUUGAAAAUUUGUUUUUUUUUUUUUUAAUCCAUAUUAUUCAAAGAGAAAACGAGAGAGAUGAUGAUUUUGAGGCCACCCUAUCCCAGCCAUAUAAUUUACAUAUCGAGUCCCAACAGCAACAGUGUAGGGAUGAGCACGAAAUACUGUAAAUUAAAUGCUGAAUGGCGGUUCAUGCAGGGAAAGAACAUAUCAAUAUUCGCAUAUUCAUUAAAAAACAUGAAAAUUCUUAAUGGAGUACCCUCAUUUUUUAUUGAAUUCUUAAAAACCAAUAUUUAUAAUGAAUUUUAAUAAUUUUUUCGGAUUUUUUUGAAGCUUUAUUCUGAC
RNAcentral lists this long non-coding RNA (690 nucleotides) under Amborella trichopoda. RNAcentral's name for it is "long non-coding RNA (ATRI_LNC000772)". Lineage: Eukaryota; Viridiplantae; Streptophyta; Magnoliopsida; Amborellales; Amborellaceae. The record is from RNAcentral.